This is a small nuclear RNA of Frieseomelitta varia, 194 nucleotides long. RefSeq annotates it as U2 spliceosomal RNA. The record is from RefSeq and is a predicted model, not a curated record. The transcript has a single exon. NCBI's taxonomy places the organism in Eukaryota, Metazoa, Arthropoda, Insecta, Hymenoptera, Apidae.
AUCGCUUCUCGGCCUUUUGGCUAAGAUCGAACGUAGUAUCUGUUCUUAUCAGCUUAAUAUCUGAUACGCUCCCGCCAUGGGGGAGCUUGAAUAUUAAACUGUUUUUGGAUCUCGGCGGAGUUUCUUGGGAGCUUGCUCCCACUCUGCCAUGGGUUAACCCAGCAUUGCAGUUCAGCUGGGUUGGCCCUACAGAG